CCAAGGCUUCGAUCAGUAGCUGGUCUGAGAGGACGACCAGCCACACUGGAACUGAGACACGGUCCAGACUCCUACGGGAGGCAGCAGUGGGGAAUUUUGGACAAUGGGCGCAAGCCUGAUCCAGCCAUUCCGCGUGAGUGAAGAAGGCCUUCGGGUUGUAAAGCUCUUUCGCAAGGGAAGAAAACUUACUUUCUAAUAAAGAGUGAGGCUGACGGUACCUUGAUAAGAAGCACCGGCUAACUACGUGCCAGCAGCCGCGGUAAUACGUAGGGUGCGAGCGUUAAUCGGAAUUACUGGGCGUAAAGCGUGCGCAGGCGGUUUGGCAAGUCAGAUGUGAAAUCCCCGAGCUCAACUUGGGAACUGCGUUUGAAACUGCCAGACUAGAAUAUGUCAGAGGGGGGUAGAAUUCCACGUGUAGCAGUGAAAUGCGUAGAGAUGUGGAGGNAAUACCAAUGGCGAAGGCAGCCCCCUGGGAUAAUAUUGACGCUCAUGCACGAAAGCGUGGGGAGCAAACAGGAUUAGAUACCCUGGUAGUCCACGCCCUAAACGAUGUCUACUAGUUGUUGGUGGAGUAAAAUCCAUGAGUAACGCAGCUAACGCGUGAAGUAGACCGCCUGGGGANGUACGGUCGCAAGAUNUNANAANAANUCAAAGGAAUUGACGGGGGCCCGCACAAGCGGUGGAUUAUGUGGAUUAAUUCGAUGCAACGCGAAAAACCUUACCUGGCCUUGACAUGCCACUAACGAAGCAGAGAUGCAUUAGGUGCCCGCAAGGGAAAGUGGACACAGGUGCUGCAUGGCUGUCGUCUGCUCGUGUCGUGAGAUGUUGGGUUAAGUCCCGCAACGAGCGCAACCCUUGCCAUUAAUUGCCAUCAUUUAGUUGGGCACUUUAAUGGGACUGCCGGUGACAAACCGGAGGAAGGUGGGGAUGACGUCGAGUCCUCAUGGCCCCUUAUGGCCAGGGCUUCACACGUAAUACAAUGGUCGGUACAGAGAGUUGCCAACCCGCGAGGGGGAGCUAAUCUCAGAAAGCCGAUCGUAGUCCGGAUUGUUUCUCUGCACUCGAGAGCAUGAAGUUCGGA
RNAcentral lists this ribosomal RNA (1081 nucleotides) under uncultured Methylophilus sp. RNAcentral's name for it is "bacterial SSU rRNA". It matches the Rfam family "Bacterial small subunit ribosomal RNA", at positions 268 to 1331 of the family's 1533-position model. Lineage: Bacteria; Pseudomonadati; Pseudomonadota; Betaproteobacteria; Nitrosomonadales; Methylophilaceae. The record is from RNAcentral.